GGGUGGCGUCAUCUGUUAGCAAAAAAAAAUGGUUUUAGACUGAAUUGAUGUUAAUUUACAUAUUGACCUGUUGAGGGAUGCGGUCUACGAGUUAAAAUAUUCGGGAUUCAAGCUUCCUCAUCCACGAGACUCUACUUCUCAAAGCGUAAUUGUGCGAGGUUUGCGGUUGAGCGUCUGAAGGAGUGGGUGGUGUCUGGUUUGUUAAGUGAAAACAUUAUCUAUACACACCGUUAAAUUUUUUCAACGGAAAUAGACAUAAAAUGGGAUUAAGAGAAAAUAUUUAAAUAAAGAAUCAACAUAUUAGCGUUUAUUUAUAGAUUUUAUUAUAAAAGAUGGCAAUGACAUGCAUGAGUAUAAAUACUGGGGAAGAAAAAAUGAAUUCGUCCCAACGAUCAAUUUAUAGCUCAGGAGUUUUACCCCGAAUCAGCACCAAUUUAGGAAAGAAAGUACUCUCUGCGGGCAACCCUGUCUGUGAGAAUCUUAACUUUCUCAUCACAAUUUGUGCUAUAAACAAAUCUACACUUCAGCAUGAAGGCAAUCCACAGGAUGAUCCAUUUUUUCAUUCUGUGUUUCCAGUUCCAGAUUGCUACUGGUUACUGACCUACUGAUUACUGUAAAUUAUACAAAUACAACCAUGUUGUGAACCAUCAGUACAAAAUUGUAACCAAAAUAAUAAAUCGAGUUUAUAUUAGAAAAUUUAUAUUCAGUUAUAUUUAUUUUCUAUUUAUUGUUGACAUAUUUGUUGUUAUAUUGUUUAACAACAGAUAACGAACAGAGCCAGAACGAGAAAAAACGGGGCCCCGUGCAAACUUCCGUGCGGGACCUUUUAAUAACGACAUACAGAUUGAUAGAUUACCUACUGUUGAAAAUAACAACUCCAGAAUUCUACGAUUUCCUUAAAAAUAACAAUUACAUAUUCUUACCAGAUCGCAACCAAAAAGUUUUCAAUACGAGUUGGAUCACGCUGGAUGGUGAUUAGGCCCUCUGCAUUCGCACGGUUCGCACUGCCCUUCGGCCGGCCAUGACAAAAUGCCAAUACUAAAUUAUUUUUAGAAAACGUAAUGACCAUACAUACCAUUUUUUAAAAAACUUAUAUAGAC
This 1100-nucleotide long non-coding RNA is filed under the name Androctonus crassicauda. Lineage: Eukaryota; Metazoa; Arthropoda; Arachnida; Scorpiones; Buthidae. The record is from RNAcentral.